RNAcentral lists this ribosomal RNA (433 nucleotides) under uncultured bacterium. RNAcentral describes it as "partial 16S ribosomal RNA". It matches the Rfam family "Bacterial small subunit ribosomal RNA", at positions 29 to 507 of the family's 1533-position model. The record is from RNAcentral.
AACGAACGCUGGCGGCAUGCCUAACACAUGCAAGUCGAACGAGACCUUCGGGUCUAGUGGCGCACGGGUGCGUAACGCGUGGGAACCUGCCCUUAGGUUCGGAAUAACUCCCCGAAAGGGGUGCUAAUACCGGAUAAUGUCUUCGGACCAAAGAUUUAUCGCCUUUGGAUGGGCCCGCGUUGGAUUAGCUAGUUGGUAGGGUAAAAGCCUACCAAGGCGACGAUCCAAAGCUGGUCUGAGAGGAUGAUCAGCCACACUGGGACUGAGACACGGCCCAGACUCCUACGGGAAGCAGCAGUGGGGAAUAUUGGACAAUGGGCGAAAGCCUGAUCCAGCAAUGCCGCGUGAGUGAUGAAGGCCUUAGGGUUGUAAAGCUCUUUUACCCGGGAUGAUAAUGACAGUACCGGGAGAAUAAGCUCCGGCUAACUCCGUG